Molecule: ribosomal RNA, 880 nt
Filed under: uncultured bacterium
Lineage: Bacteria
Description: bacterial SSU rRNA
Rfam family: Bacterial small subunit ribosomal RNA
Source: RNAcentral
GUUUGAUCAUGGCUCAGGAUGAACGCUAGCGGGAGGCUUAAUACAUGCAAGUUGAGCGGUAAGUUAUUUAUAGCAAUAUAGAUGACCUAGAGCGGCGCACGGGUGAGUAACGCGUACAUAACCUGCCCUAUACAGGAGGAUAGCCUUGGGAAACUGAGAUUAAUACUCCAUAGUAUUAUUUAGUUGCAUAAUUAGAUAAUUAAGGAUGAGUCGGUAUAGGAUGGAUGUGCGUCUGAUUAGCUAGUUGGUAGGGUAACGGCCUACCAAGGCGAUGAUCAGUAGGGGGCGUGAGAGCGUGGACCCCCACACGGGUACUGAGACACGGACCCGACUCCUACGGGAGGCAGCAGUAAGGAAUAUUGGUCAAUGGAGGAAACUCUGAACCAGCCAUCCCGCGUGAAGGAUGAAGGGGCUCUGCCUUGUAAACUUCUUUUGUCUGGGGCGAAAAAGCUCGAUUUAUCGAGAACUGACGGUACCAGAAGAAUAAGCACCGGCUAACUCCGUGCCAGCAGCCGCGGUAAUACGGAGGGUGCAAGCGUUAUCCGGAAUCACUGGGUUUAAAGGGUGCGUAGGCGGCUUAGUAAGUCAGUGGUGAAAGGCUGUGGCUUAACCAUGGAAUUGCCAUUGAUACUGCUGAGCUUGAAUGAGGUUGAGGUUGGCGGAAUGUGACAUGUAGCGGUGAAAUGCUUAGAUAUGUCAUGGAACACCGAUUGCGAAGGCAGCUGACUGGGCCUAUAUUGACGCUGAGGCACGAAAGCGUGGGGAGCGAACAGGAUUAGAUACCCUGGUAGUCCACGCCCUAAACGAUGCUUACUCGUUGUUUGACUGAAAAGUUGAGUGACUAAGAGAAAUCGAUAAGUAAGCCACCUGGGAGUACGAC